GGGACUGUGGCUCAGUGGUAGAGUACUUGCUUUUCAUGCAGAAGGUUGCAGGUUCAAUCCCUAAUAUUUCA
This 71-nucleotide transfer RNA is filed under the name Sphaerodactylus townsendi. Its description in RNAcentral is "tRNA-Glu". The stretch from base 1 to 62 matches the Rfam family "tRNA". Rfam says of the family: Transfer RNA (tRNA) molecules are approximately 80 nucleotides in length. Their secondary structure includes four short double-helical elements and three loops (D, anti-codon, and T loops). The record is from RNAcentral. Lineage: Eukaryota; Metazoa; Chordata; Lepidosauria; Squamata; Sphaerodactylidae.